This 217-nucleotide non-coding RNA is filed under the name Lacticaseibacillus paracasei. The record is from RNAcentral. Lineage: Bacteria; Bacillati; Bacillota; Bacilli; Lactobacillales; Lactobacillaceae.
GUAAAAACGAUGACGAAAGCCCAAACAGGCUGACGAGAUAGGGAAUGACGUUCAUACGACUGCAAGACGUCUAUCGCCAAAAUGUUUGUCUUCACUUUCUGAGUUGACUUUUGAAGUGGCAACACUUAGAAAGCUCCGGCCUAGCCGUUACCUUGUUGAGUGCAUGGUUAUUUCGUGACCAUGAACAAGGGUGGUACCGCGAUGCUUCGUCCCUUUU